GACGAACGCUGGCGGCGUGCUUAACACAUGCAAGUCGAACGAUGAAGCCGGAGCUUGCUCCGGUGGAUUAGUGGCGAACGGGUGAGUAACACGUGAGCAAUCUGCCCUUGACUCUGGGAUAACUGCGGGAAACUGUAGCUAAUACCGGAUACGACACCUUGGGGCAUCCCAGGGUGUGGAAAGAAUUUCGGUCAAGGAUGAGCUCGCGGCCUAUCAGCUAGUUGGGGAGGUAAUGGCUCACCAAGGCGACGACGGGUAGCCGGCCUGAGAGGGUGACCAGCCACACUGGAACUGAGACACGGUCCAGACUCCUACGGGAGGCAGCAGUGGGGAAUAUUGCACAAUGGGCGAAAGCCUGAUGCAGCAACGCCGCGUGAGGGAUGAAGGCCUUCGGGUUGUAAACCUCUUUUAGCAGGGAAGAAGCGAAAGUGACGGUACCUGCAGAAAAAGCACCGGCUAACUACGUGCCAGCAGCCGCCGUAA
RNAcentral lists this ribosomal RNA (483 nucleotides) under uncultured bacterium. Its description in RNAcentral is "partial 16S ribosomal RNA". It matches the Rfam family "Bacterial small subunit ribosomal RNA", at positions 28 to 523 of the family's 1533-position model. The record is from RNAcentral.